GUACAGGGAGAAUCGACACAACCGAGCAGCAGAGGCCACAUGAGCCUUGAAGAUGUGUCAGCAGCAGCCUCCUCUCAAACUGGUCCAAACUGGAAUAACAUCAGGCUGCCCGCUACCAACCAGCCAAUCAGCACAAUCUAUUCUCCAGACGAAUCAGAGGCCAGCGUUGACAUGGAAGAAAGUCCUCCACCUGUAGAAAAUCAGCAGAACCAGCAGCAGAAUCAGCAGAACCAACAGCACAAUCCAGACAACAGAGAUGAAGAUUGUAUGGAACUCGAUGAUGUUGACCCUGAAACUGGAGAGCGAGCACAAGGAUGACCCCGUCCCUACCUGUCAGUCACUGCUGCCCCGCCCCCAUACAGAUACACCUGGAUUUGUCUCUGUGUUUUACCAUGAAUACAAGGAACUUGAAAGCUGAGAGAUUUAACUUUUUCCCUGCUGUCACCUGAAUCACCUGUGCUCACCUGCAGCAGGUGUCUGAAGUUCCCAACAGACUUUAAUAUGGUUGUAUCUAAAACGGUCAACCUCUAGUUUAAAUGUCUGUCUUCUGACAGAAUUAAUUUCAGGUCUGAUGUUCUCCUAUAAACAGUUAUCAGUUGUUGAUUUGUAAACUAUUGAUAAUCAGGUUGAAUGAGAAAGUCCUCUAGGUGUGAUGCUCUGAGGUCACAGAUGAACUUGUGAGUUUUAAUGUUGGAUGUGUUUCCAGCUGAUAUUGUUAUUGUCUUGUGAUAAAGUUCAUCUGAGUAAAAAAAUAAAUAAUAUUUGGUAACCUGUGUCAUUUCUUAAUAUACAGCAACAUGGUGGCUCAGCCUGAUGUGAUUUCAGGCAAAGAAUAGUCUGUCA
Amphiprion ocellaris (clown anemonefish) is the source of this 843-nucleotide long non-coding RNA. The record is from Ensembl. NCBI's taxonomy places the organism in Eukaryota, Metazoa, Chordata, Actinopteri, Pomacentridae.